UCCAUUGAUUUUUUUGCCAGC
Molecule: non-coding RNA, 21 nt
Organism: Caenorhabditis elegans
Lineage: Eukaryota; Metazoa; Nematoda; Chromadorea; Rhabditida; Rhabditidae
Source: Ensembl